CAGCCGCCGCGGGAAUACGAAGGGGGCUAGCGUUGUUCGGAUUUACUGGGCGUAAAGCGCACGUAGGCGGACUUUUAAGUCAGGGGUGAAAUCCCGGGGCUCAACCCCGGAACUGCCUUUGAUACUGGAAGUCUUGAGUAUGGUAGAGGUGAGUGGAAUUCCGAGUGUAGAGGUGAAAUUCGUAGAUAUUCGGAGGAACACCAGUGGCGAAUGCGGCUCACUGGACCAUUACUGACGCUGAGGUGCGAAAGCGUGGGGAGCAAACAGGAUUAGAUACCCCUGUAGUCCCUGUCUCUUAUAC
RNAcentral lists this ribosomal RNA (301 nucleotides) under uncultured bacterium. RNAcentral describes it as "partial 16S ribosomal RNA". It matches the Rfam family "Bacterial small subunit ribosomal RNA", at positions 509 to 807 of the family's 1533-position model. The record is from RNAcentral.